This 398-nucleotide ribosomal RNA is filed under the name uncultured bacterium. Its description in RNAcentral is "bacterial SSU rRNA". It matches the Rfam family "Bacterial small subunit ribosomal RNA", at positions 28 to 424 of the family's 1533-position model. The record is from RNAcentral.
GAUGAACGCUAGCGGCAGGCCUAAUACAUGCAAGACGAACGGUAACUUUGGUAGCAAUAUUGAAGCAAGAGUGUCGUAAGGGUGCGUAACACGUAUGCAAUCUGCCCUCAACAGGAGGAUAGCUCCCCGAAAGGGAAUUAACACUCCAUAAGAUCAUGGUUCGGCAUCGGACAGUGAUUAAAACUACGGUGGUUGAGGAUGAGCAUGCGCAUGAUUAGUUAGUUGGCGGGGUAACGCCCACCAAGACGAUGAUCAUUAGGGGAACUGAGAGGUUGAUCCCCCACACUGGCACUGAGAUACGGGCCAGACUCCUACGGGAGGCAGCAGUAGGGAAUAUUGGACAAUGGGUGCGAGCCUGAUCCAGCCAUGCCGCGUGCAGGAAGACGGCCUUCUGGGUU